UCCCUGUUACCAAGGCAGUAUAGCUAGAGAAAUUCAACUAGCUAAAAGGGUUGCGCUCGUUGAUGGACUUAACCAAACAUCUCACGACACGAGCUGACGACGGCCAUGCAGCACCUGUCACUGCGUUCCAAAAAGGCACAGUCUCCUUUCGGAGACCUUCACAGGAUGUCAAGCCUGGGUAAGGUUCUUCGCUUACCGUCGAAUUAAACAACACGCUCCACCGCUUGUGCGGGUCCCCGUCAAUUCCUUUAUGUUUUAAGCUUGCGCUCGUACUCCACAGGCGGGAUGCUUAACGCGUUAGCUUCGCUACUAUUCGGGUCGAUACGAAUAACAGCUAGCAUCCAUAGUUUACGGCGUGGACUAC
This 364-nucleotide unclassified non-coding RNA is filed under the name uncultured bacterium. RNAcentral describes it as "contains 16S-23S intergenic spacer region". The record is from RNAcentral.